This 253-nucleotide ribosomal RNA is filed under the name uncultured bacterium. RNAcentral describes it as "partial 16S ribosomal RNA". It matches the Rfam family "Bacterial small subunit ribosomal RNA", at positions 524 to 776 of the family's 1533-position model. The record is from RNAcentral.
UACGUAGGGGGCAAGCGUUGUCCGGAUUUAUUGGGCGUAAAGAGCGUGUAGGCGGCCUGACAGGUCUGCUGUGAAAACUCGAGGCUCAACCUCGAGAUGUCGGCGGAAACCGUCUGGCUAGAGUCCGGAAGAGGAGAGUGGAAUUCCUGGUGUAGCGGUGAAAUGCGCAGAUAUCGGGAGGAACACCAGUAGCGAAGGCGACACUCUGGGCCGGUACUGACGCUGAGGAGCGAAAGCGUGGGGAGCAAACAGG